AAUUUGCUGUGAUGAGAUCAAAGGACGGUAUCUGAGAAAGGUGUACUUUAUAAAGUCCUCUUUCCUUGAUUAUUCCUCCCAAACUGAUCAAAUUUUCUGAGCAACGA
Triticum aestivum (bread wheat) is the source of this 107-nucleotide non-coding RNA. The record is from Rfam. Lineage: Eukaryota; Viridiplantae; Streptophyta; Magnoliopsida; Poales; Poaceae.